GUGGUACAACCCUUGCGCCAGAAGGAGUAUCUCCAUGACUAUUUGCUGGAAAACAGUUCUAUAGAGCUGAGUUUCUCCAGGAUUACUUGGAAGAUACCACUGCACUUUGAGAAUGAGAAUUAUAUCAACCUUCACUACAACCAGGUGUUGCAGAGUUAUAUGACAGGGAAACUACAGUGCAACAGUGAACUAGAGCAGCAAGUGGUUACCUUAGCUCUGCUUCAGCACUGGGCCAAAGGAGCUAGAUCACUCCCUUCCACAGAAGAGUUAAGAAGCUGCAUUCCUGAUCCUGUGGUACAACUCAUCAACCUAGAAACCAUUCACAACUUUGUCACCCAUGAUCUGGAACAGAGACAGCCACUUGAACAACAUGAGGCAAAAA
Molecule: non-coding RNA, 382 nt
Organism: Anolis sagrei ordinatus
Lineage: Eukaryota; Metazoa; Chordata; Lepidosauria; Squamata; Anolidae
Source: RefSeq, a predicted model, not a curated record